Long non-coding RNA from Populus trichocarpa (black cottonwood), 2163 nucleotides. RefSeq lists it as uncharacterized. The transcript is spliced from 2 exons. The record is from RefSeq and is a predicted model, not a curated record. NCBI's taxonomy places the organism in Eukaryota, Viridiplantae, Streptophyta, Magnoliopsida, Malpighiales, Salicaceae.
UGCUUGCUAUAGGGCUGGGAGUUUAUGGCGAAUACCAAUGUAUAUUGAAAUCAAAAGUUUCAGUUUUGAGAAGUAGCUCUCCGAGCAAGAAAUUCUCUCAAAGUAAGGUCCCAAGAUAAGGCCGGGACCUAUUGUCUCAUCUUCUCUUCAACCUUGUUUCUGAAGGGUUAUCAUGGUCUCAUGACCUGGAUUACGAGUUUUGCGGGUUAGCCAAGUUGACUCGAUUGGUUUUCCUUUAUUUAAUUGGAUUUUGUUUCAGUUUCAUACUUCAACAUUGGAUUAAUUGAUAAUUAGACUUUAUAAUUAUUUUUUUAUUUGCUUUUUAUGGAGUUAUCCUAUUCUCCUCACCCGGGUUUGACAGGUUAAGUCGAGUCAUUGUUUUUGUCCUUUUUUAUUUGAUUUUAUCCUUCAACAUUGGGUUGAUUGAGAAUUGAGUUAAAUAAUUUUUUUUAUUUGUUUUCUAUAGGGUUAUCAAGGUCUCAUAACAUGGGUAGUAGAUUUGACAAGCUAACCUAAGUUAAUCCGAGUCAAUCUAAUAUGUUGUUGUUUCAAUACUUAAAAAAAAAUAUAUCGUCUUUAUUUUUUUUAGUUUAACUACAUUUUUCUUUGUCAUCUAGGUUGUUUUUGGACAUGUCGAGUUGACUAGGUCAUAUCAAGUCAAUUGUUAUAUAAUUUUAAUUGGUUUCAACUAAAAAACACAUUAUCGACACCUAGAUAUUUUUUUAUGUCUAGAAAAAGUUUAAUUUGACCCAUAGAGUAGCGUGAGAAAUUAUCAGUUAAUAUACUAAAACAACUUGGAAUUUCAUUGUAACAGUGAACAAUGAGAUGCCAGGGCAUUGUACACUUUAGUCCUCAAAAAUAAAAAAUUGUGAGAAUUUUUUUUUUGUUUUCAACUUUUUUUUUUCAAUUUCAUCAUCCAUGUUGGUUAAAAUAAAAAAUCAGGAAAAAUAAAAAUGGAGAGAAAAUACAAAAAAAAUUGAAAAAAUGUUGGAAGAAAACAAAAAAUAUAUCAGUGAGCAGAAUAUACCAAAAUGCCUAGAAAAUUGUUGAAGACUUGUUGAGGAAGAUAAAAAUAUACAAGAUUGAAAAAUUUGAUAGUGUAUUUUCGAUUGAUAAAGGCCUUAUUGACAAAGAAAAAAUCAAUUUCAAGAAGGAAAUUCAAAAUUUCAUGUUGAAGGACUCAAUUGGAAUUUUUUAAUGUGUAAUUGAAUUUAUUGAGGGCUUAAUUGCAAUAAAAAUUGAUUUUUUGAAGUCAAUUUAGACUUUGAUUGGAAGCAGUUAAAGUCUGGGGGUUGAAUUGCAAUUGUUAAGAGUUAAUUUGGUCAAAUUAAGGCUUAAUUACAUAAAUAUUGAAGUUUGAUUGGCAAUUAAUGGCUUAAUUGAAGAAAUCCAAAACCAAUGACCAAAUUAAAAAAGGUGAGUGAAUGUAAUGGCUGAAUUGACCAAAUUAAGGGCCAAAUUGAAAGAAUUAAAAGUUUGUUGGUCAAUUGAGGGUCGAAAUGCAUAAAUUUAGAACCAUGGACUAAAAUGAAAAUAGUGGUCAACUUUAGGGCUGACAAUUAAGUUUGGCAAUGGUGAAAUUGUAUGAAAUUAAAAGUCUUAAGGCAAUUACAAGUAUAAUUAAAAGCAAUUGGAAGAGUAGGGACUCAAUUGAAAUUUUUUAAAUUCCAAAUUAAGAACCUUAAAUGACGUGUCGUUCAGACUUAAAGAAGAAAAGAUGAAUGACAUGUUAUUUGUCAGCUUGCACGUACGUUUUGAAAGUUUUGGUUGAUCAAGUUGACAACUUCAAAUGCAUAAAUGUGGAGUUAUAAACCUAUAAAUUGAGCAAAAUUGGAUCUAAAUAAAAGGCGUGCACCCCGUCUACCGAAUUCAGGUAGUUUCAAAUGAUGAUGAUGUCGGAAUUGCACCGACAAGACCUCAAAAGUGGGUAGUUCAGUCAACCCAACUAGUGCAAUUAUCAUACAAAAAACUUAUUUGGUUUUCCCAUGUUCACAUAUAAAGGCUCCUCAAUGGAUUCUUUUCAAGGGUUUACAACAUUUCCCUUAAGAUCAAGAGGUCAGAAAUGGAUUCAAAAUCUCUCAAAACCCUAGCAAAACCUUAUAAAUAACCUCUUCAAGAUCAAGAAAAAGGGGUUGAAAAAAAAUAGAAAAAAAGAAAAACAAA